CCUACGGGAGGCAGCAGUGGGGAAUAUUGCACAAUGGGGGAAACCCUGAUGCAGCGACGCCGCGUGAGUGAAGAAGUAUUUCGGUAUGUAAAGCUCUAUCAGCCGGGAAGACGACAGACGGUACCUGACUAAGAAGCCCCGGCUAACUACGUGCCAGCAGCCGGGGUAAUACGUAGGGGGCAAGCGUUAUCCGGAUUUACUGGGUGUAAAGGGAUCGGAGACGGCUGUGCAAGUCUGCAGUGAAAGCCCAGGGCUCAACCCUGGGACUGCUUUGGAAACUGUGGAGCUAGAGUGCUGGAGAGGUAAGGGGAAGUCCUAGUGUAGCGGUGAAAUGCGUAGAUAUUAGGCAGAACACCAGGGGCGAAGGCGGCUUACUGGACAGUAACUGACGUUGAGGCUCGAAAGCGUGGGGAGCAAACAGGAUUAGAUACCCUUGUAGUC
Molecule: ribosomal RNA, 441 nt
Filed under: uncultured bacterium
Lineage: Bacteria
Description: partial 16S ribosomal RNA
Rfam family: Bacterial small subunit ribosomal RNA
Source: RNAcentral